UACGAAGGGGGCUAGCGGUGCUCGGAAUCACUGGGCGGAAAGCGCACGUAGGCGGACUCUUAAGUCGGUGGUGAAAUCCUGGAGCUCAACUCCAGAACUGCCUUCGAUACUGGGAGUCUCGAGUCCGGGAGAGGUGAGUGGAACUGCGAGUGUAGAGGUGAAAUUCGUAGAUAUUCGCAAGAACACCAGUGGCGAAGGCGGCUCACUGGCCCGGUACUGACGCUGAGGUGCGAAAGCGUGGGGAGCAAACAGG
This 253-nucleotide ribosomal RNA is filed under the name uncultured bacterium. Its description in RNAcentral is "partial 16S ribosomal RNA". It matches the Rfam family "Bacterial small subunit ribosomal RNA", at positions 524 to 776 of the family's 1533-position model. The record is from RNAcentral.